CCUACGGGAGGCAGCAGUGGGGGAUAUUGCACAAUGGGGGAAACCCUGAUGCAGCGACGCCGCGUGGGUGAAGAAGCGCCUCGGCGCGUAAAGCCCUGUCAGCAGGGAAGAAAAUGACGGUACCUGAAGAAGAAGCACCGGCUAACUACGUGCCAGCAGCCGCGGUAAUACGUAGGGGGCAAGCGUUAUCCGGAUUUACUGGGUGUAAAGGGGGCGCAGACGGCGAUGCAAGCCAGGAGUGAAAGCCCGGGGCCCAACCCCGGGACUGCUGUUGGAACUGCGUGGCUAGAGUGCAGGAGGGGGAGGCGGAAUGCCUGGUGUAGCGGUGAAAUGCGUAGAUAUCAGGAGGAAGACCGGUGGCGAAGGCGGCCUGCUGGACUGCAACUGACGUUGAGGCCCGAAAGCGUGGGGAGCAAACAGGAGUAGAUACCCCUGUAGUG
RNAcentral lists this ribosomal RNA (440 nucleotides) under uncultured bacterium. Its description in RNAcentral is "partial 16S ribosomal RNA". It matches the Rfam family "Bacterial small subunit ribosomal RNA", at positions 338 to 795 of the family's 1533-position model. The record is from RNAcentral.